Molecule: unclassified non-coding RNA, 240 nt
Filed under: soil metagenome
Description: partial contains 5.8S ribosomal RNA, internal transcribed spacer 2, and large subunit ribosomal RNA
Source: RNAcentral
AACCAUAGAAACCUGCGGAGUACCUGCGGAGGGAUCAUUACCGAGUCACGUGCUCAAAUAACCCUUCUGUGGACCUGGAAUAAAACCGUUGCCUCGGCGGGCGGUCCCCCCAACCAAACCCCAUGUGGUGGGUUAGGGGACCAGACAGUCCGGCACGCUUAAGGCGUCCGGCGCCAGCCGCUGGCCCCAAACAAUUAAACUCCUAGUAACCUUUACCUUCUGAGUUUCAAUAUUUUAAAA